GCAAUCGAGUGUGUAUCUUGUCAUGUAGAAUUUUGCAAUGUUAGAUGCAAUGAUUUAUCCAGUUUAAACUCUCAUUUGAAAUCUCAUAUCGGAGAGGGCAGGGCCGUUUCUUGUCCAUUUCGUCAGUGUGGGAGAACGUUUUCAGUCGUCUCUUCCUUUAUUUCUAAUUUUUCCACAGUACACAAGUCUUGUACAGUAUCCAGUCUUCUGGGCCAUGUAACAGUAGGAACAGAGACGAGACUAACGGCAACCAAUGAACAAGUUGAGGAUGUUUCAGUGUUGGAGGGGGAUUUGACUGACGACGUAACGUGAAAAGAAAACAAUUGCAUCAUACAAAGACAGCGUGCAGCACAGCAUGCAGCAUAACGUAAGUACAUCAAAACUGUCACUGGGAAUUAAAUUUGAUUUGAUUCCAAAUUUAUCAAAUUAACCCACUUCCAUGUGUGCCAACUUGGUCUGCCUCCUUGUCUGGGCCAUGACUUAUUUGAGGGUAUCGUCGCAUAUGACUUCGCUCUAUACCUAAGUCAUUUUGUCACAAAUCAGAAAUUCUUCACGUAUAGAGAACUGAAUGGACA
Long non-coding RNA from Anguilla anguilla (European eel), 575 nucleotides. RefSeq lists it as uncharacterized. The record is from RefSeq and is a predicted model, not a curated record. The transcript is spliced from 2 exons. NCBI's taxonomy places the organism in Eukaryota, Metazoa, Chordata, Actinopteri, Anguilliformes, Anguillidae.